ACGCACGCUGGCGGCGUGCUUAACCCCUGCCAGUCGAACGGAAAGGCCCUGCUUUUGUGGGGUGCUCGAGUGGCGAACGGGUGAGUAGCACGUGAGUAACCUGCCCUUGACUUUGGGAUAACUUCAGGAAACUGGGGCUAAUACCGGAUAGGAGCUCCUGCUGCAUGGUGGGGGUUGGAAAGUUUCGGCGGUUGGGGAUGGACUCGCGGCUUAUCAGCUUGUUGGUGGGGUAGUGGCUUACCAAGGCUUUGACGGGUAGCCGGCCUGAGAGGGUGACCGGCCACAUUGGGACUGAGAUACGGCCCAGACUCCUACGGGAGGCAGCAGUGGGGAAUAUUGCACAAUGGGCGGAAGCCUGAUGCAGCAACGCCGCGUGCGGGAUGACGGCCUUCGGGUUGUAAACCGCUUUCGCCUGUGACGAAGCGUGAGUGACGGUAAUGGGUAAAGAAGCACCGGCUAACUACGUG
Molecule: ribosomal RNA, 467 nt
Filed under: uncultured bacterium
Lineage: Bacteria
Description: partial 16S ribosomal RNA
Rfam family: Bacterial small subunit ribosomal RNA
Source: RNAcentral